Long non-coding RNA from Harpia harpyja (harpy eagle), 2963 nucleotides. RefSeq lists it as uncharacterized. The record is from RefSeq and is a predicted model, not a curated record. The transcript has 3 exons. Lineage: Eukaryota; Metazoa; Chordata; Aves; Accipitriformes; Accipitridae.
CUUCUGUAAGGCAGUUGAUGAGUUCUGACUCAUAAAGAAAAGCCACUCACUGAAUCACCAGGUCACAGGUCCAGCAUCUGGAACCAGACAGCAUUUAUUGGGCAGAAGAUACUCCUGUUGGCAGUGCUCUAAGAUAGGUUGUUGGAAAAAUGCUUAAGAGAAUAAUAGAGUUGAAAAUAAAUGUAAAUCAAAACCUGACCCUCCAGGCAUGCAGUCCCACCAGCUCUUGGAAACCACAGCCAACUCGACUGGAGCGUAGAAGCUGUGGGACCAAAUCGCUUCUUAUUAAUUCAUCGCACAAGUGCUAACAGCAGCUCAUGGGAAGUGGAGAUGGCAGACGUCUCAUCCUGCGGGAAGCCCGGGGGAAAAAUGAAGAAGUGACCUCAAACUAUAUUUUUGCCUUCAGCCUGGCAGCGCAAACUCCCCUCUGUCCCCCACCCCACUACGUGUUACGCCUGACACCCGCAUCGCCCAACGCAAAAGAUGCUGCAGUCAACGGGGAACGUAAAUAGCCAGAGUUAAUUGUUCAGUGUGUUUUGUGCUCCCGGUCUUCAUUGUAUGCUUGUCUGGUGUUGUGAGUGGCGCCUGUGUUGGCCACCCAUCCCGAGAGCAGUGGGGUUAAAUUUCUGCCCCGCUCUCCUGAAGAUGGAUUCUUUGUUGACCCUCGCUAUUCCAUGGCUUCGGAAGCUUUCGUAGUGCAACCACUGAAAGCCCAGCAAAUCCAGUCUGACCGGCAGAUGUGAGUAUCUUCUGAUUCAGCAGAACAGAUGUGACUUCUGUGCAUGUAGGGAAACCAAACAUCCCUCUGAAAUACAGAGGCAAACUCCUUGGGGAGAUGUGUCGUGCUGCAAAGAGCUGAGGGCAAAUUGAAUUUGAGAAGAGAGACAGGCAGAGGGUAAAAGCUGCAUGAAUAUGUAAGGUAGGGGGAUUUCUGCAGAAGACAUUACUGCAGACUCAGCUGUAAUUAAACUGCCCACAGCUGCUGUUUCUCUGUCACCUUUGGAAGGGGAAAAUGCUUUAACCAGCAGCAAAGUCAAAGGAAAACUUUAGGUAUAACCUAAGAUCUCAAGUUGCUCAAUGUGACCUAAAAGAAAACCAUUUUAUUUUACCUUGUCACCUUACUGAUAUCCAUGUCAGAAUCGAAUAAACUGCUUUACUUUGGGAAGACUUUGGAGUAGAUUGCCUUGAAAACGUGGAAAAUCUGUUCAUUUCACAUAUGCAUCCUGGUGGUUUAUUCCCCUUCCCAGUGGGAACAAAGAGGGAAGAUUAAAAAGAAAAGUUUCAGGAGUUUUCAGAGUUUCUUUUAUUUUCUUGCUUUCUAUUUAAAAAGUGUGCUUGUGAAAGAGAGAGGAAGGGAAAGGAAGAAAAUAGAGAAUGAGACUCUGUAGAAGGAGGAAGAUUUGGGGAAUUCUGCCAUUCUUCCUAUUCACUCUUUUUCCCUACUUCUUUCCAGCAGAAGGAAAGAGAGAGGGAGGGAAGGAAAACAAUUAACUGAGGAAGGUGAGGGCAAGGAAUCCAAACACUACAGGUUUUGCUUUUAAUAAGGCAACUAUAUUUGCUCUUAAAUUUUUGGUCAACAUUUCCUAUGGGAAGAAUACUUUUAAAACCAGCUCUGCUUGUUACGCAUCGUUAUUUGUGUAUAUGGCACUCUGCAUGUCUGCAAGAAGACAAAAUCAUUCCGCAGUGUUUGCCUCAGUGCGGCCAGAUCUGGCAAAAAGUCUAGUUUUAAGAUACGUUAGUGGAAAUGGAUGCUAUUCUUGUUGACACCAGAUAGGUCUCUCUUUGAGGUAAGAAGAUAGGCAGAGCGCUGUAAUGCUGCAAAAACUGUUUGGGAAUAUACAGUCAACGAGUGAAGUGAAACUGAGGUUAACUCAGGGAAGCUCAAAUUUAAUUUCCAAGGUAGCACUCAAAAAGCAUAUCUGAGGAACAGAGUAAGUCUGCAUAAAAAAGGAACAAGAAGUGUGGGUUUGCAGGCAGGGAAUAAAAAGCAAAUUGACAGCCAUGCCAUAAAGGCUGGGGGUAUAAAGGACAAGCCUAGAGCAGAAGGGAAGAAAGCACAGAGUAUGACAGACCAUUAUCUUUAAAGGCAAGAACUGCAGAGUGUGAGAAGCAACUAGCUUUUUUGUCUUUCAAGGAAGCAUUAGAUACGGGAAGACAAAACAAUAACCCAGGCGAAAGUGGGGUCCCCAGGUUGCAGGCAACAUUUCAUACCAGCAGUGCAAUAAGCCCUUCAGCCCUCUUCCAGUUACAAACCAGUAAGGGUACAGUUCAGAUGCAAGCUCCCAAAUUGCUCUAUGGUAAAUGAUGCCAGUAUAAAAUACAUUUGUGAUAUGAAUAUUUCUUAAAGGCAGUCACAAGAACUGCAUUGCUUAAUGGCCACUCUCCUCCUGUAAAUGUUUUGCUUUAACUAACUGCCCUAUUCUUUCUUUCAAACGGGACAACUGGUGUUUUCUUAAUUAAAGAUAUCAGGUCUGAACAUGAUGCUCGUAGGUUAUUAACUUUAUAUCAGACUAUUCUUCAAAUGCCGUACUUUGGUUCUUGAGGGAUCCUGCAGCAAAGUGAGAUACAAUGAUCUCCUUAAUCAGAGACUCUAAGGCAUCAGAGUUAGAGCUAAUUAGGAUUUAUGAGACGUUGGAGGGAAUAUAAUUUGUAUGCAAACACUAUAGGUGCUAAGGGGUUUCAGAUGAUGACUAUAGAUCUCAGCUGAGCUCAGGUACCACAGUUUGACAGGAUAUACCAUUAGGAGUACGCUAGAUAUUAUUCCUCCAUUUAAUCUGAUUUUCAGUCAGAAGGCUAAGGCAGGGAAAAUACUGUGCAUCUGACACAAUUUUGUGGCCCACCUUUUAUUAAAAUCUAGGCUGGGACUGAAGCAGCAAUCAACACCUCCUGCUUAAAAAGCAUUUCUUUUCAGUAAAGUCUCAGCCACUGAAGCAGCACGUCCCCAUUCAGAUGUCCGUCCUGCU